GGACAGCUGGCCGAGUGGUCGAAGGCGCACGCCUGGAACGCGUGUAUAGGGCAACCUAUCGAGGGUUCGAAUCCCUCGCUGUCCACCA
RNAcentral lists this transfer RNA (88 nucleotides) under Sulfurimonas sp. RNAcentral describes it as "tRNA-Ser". It matches the Rfam family "tRNA". Rfam says of the family: Transfer RNA (tRNA) molecules are approximately 80 nucleotides in length. RNAcentral also lists the same sequence under 4 other names. Lineage: Bacteria; Pseudomonadati; Campylobacterota; Epsilonproteobacteria; Campylobacterales; Sulfurimonadaceae. The record is from RNAcentral.